Molecule: ribosomal RNA, 465 nt
Filed under: uncultured bacterium
Lineage: Bacteria
Description: partial 16S ribosomal RNA
Rfam family: Bacterial small subunit ribosomal RNA
Source: RNAcentral
CUACGGGCGGCUCCAGUGGGGAAUAUUGGACAAUGGGGGAAACCCUGAUCCAGCAAUGCCGCGUGUGUGAAGAAGGCCUGCGGGUUGUAAAGCACUUUCGGUUGGGAGGACUGCUUCUAGCACUAAUAUUGUUGGAAGUUGACGUUACCUUCAGAAGAAGCACCGGCUAACUCCGUGCCAGCAGCCGCGGUAAUACGGAGGGUGCAAGCGGUAAUCGGAAUUACUGGGCGUAAAGCGCGCGUAGGCGGCUAGCUCAGUCGGGUGUGAAAGCCCCGGGCUUAACCUGGGAACUGCAUCCGAUACUGUCUAGCUUGAGUACAGGAGAGGAGAGUGGAAUUCCACAUGUAGCGGUGAAAUGCGUAGAUAUGUGGAGGAACACCAAUGGCGAAGGCAGCUCUCUGGCCUGAUACUGACGCUGAGGUGCGAAAGCGUGGGGAGCAAACAGGAUUAGAUACCCCAGUAGUC